ACUAGUGAUUACGACUGCUGCUAAGACUGGAUAGGAAGAAAUAAGGCAUCUUAUUUCUUUUAAAAGACCUAGUAAUAGGUAUACUUUAGGAGGGGCUUGCGCCAUAUUAGUUAGUUGGUAGGGUAAUGGCCUACCAAGACGAUGAUGUGUAGCUGGACUGAGAGGUUGAACAGCCACAUUGGGACUGAGACACGGCCCAAACUCCUACGGGAGGCAGCAGUAAGGAAUUUUCGGCAAUGGAGGAAACUCUGACCGAGCAACGCCGCGUGAACGACGAAGUACUUUGGUAUGUAAAGUUCUUUUAUCAAGGAAGAAAAGCAAGUGGCGAACCAUUUGUUUGCCGGUACUUGAUGAAUAAGCCCCGGCUAAUUAUGUGCCAGCAGCCGCGGUAAGACAUAAGGGGCAAGUGUUAUCCGGAAUUAUUGGGCGUAAAGGGUGCGUAGGCGGUCUAGUAAGUCAGUGGUGUAAUGGCAACGCUCAACGUUGUCCGGCUAUUGAAACUGCUAAACUUGAGUUAGAUAGAGGCGAGUGGAAUUCCAUGUGUAGCGGUAAAAUGCGUAAAUAUAUGGAGGAACACCAGAGGCGUAGGCGGCUCGCUGGGUCUUAACUGACGCUGAGGCACGAAAGCGUGGGGAGCAAACAGGAUUAGAUACCCUGGUAGUCCACGCCGUAAACGAUGAGUACUAAGUGUCGGGUUAAACCGGUACUGAAGUUAACACAUUAAGUACUCCGCCUGAGUAGUACGUACGCAAGUAUGAAACUUAAAGGAAUUGACGGGACUCCGCACAAGCGGUGGAUCAUGUUGUUUAAUUCGAAGAUACCCGAAAAACCUUACCAGGUCUUGACAUGUUUUGCGAAACGGUAGUAAUAUCGUAGAGGUUAUCAGAAACACAGGUGGUGCAUGGUUGUCGUCAGCUCGUGUCGUGAGAUGUUAGGUUAAGUCCUAAAACGAGCGAAACCCUUAUCGUUAGUUGCCAGCACGUUAUGGUGGGGACUUUAACGAGACUGCCAGUGAUAAACUGGAGGAAGGUGAGGAUCACGUCAAAUCAGCAUGCCCCUUAUGACCUGGGCUACAAACGUGAUACAAUGGCUGUUACAAAGGGUAGCUGAAACGUAAGUUCUUGGCCAAUCCCCAAAAACAGUCUCAGUCCGGAUUGAAGUCUGCAACUCGACUUCAYGAAGUUGG
This 1186-nucleotide ribosomal RNA is filed under the name Opuntia sp. mosaic-inducing phytoplasma. Its description in RNAcentral is "bacterial SSU rRNA". It matches the Rfam family "Bacterial small subunit ribosomal RNA", at positions 142 to 1329 of the family's 1533-position model. Lineage: Bacteria; Bacillati; Mycoplasmatota; Mollicutes; Acholeplasmatales; Acholeplasmataceae. The record is from RNAcentral.